AACAAACCCCUGUGGUACCCAAACUACAUUUCCCAUAAUUCCUAACACAGGAUAUAAAGGACAUCAGGAAAUGCAGCACUCUUUUAAUUACACCUUGGUUCCAUGCUGCAGUCAUGGAUCCCGGUAGAACCAUGGCCAGUAGAUUGGGAGGAGGUGCUGUCGUCUCUCCCCAUGGAUCCACGCUGUCCUGCAGGUUUGGAAAAAAAGUCAGUUGUCUGCUCAGCGUUUACUGAGGAGCUGGUGGUGCGCUGGGAGCUCGCUGACAACUUCUGCUUCUACAAACACAACUACAACAACAUUUCAGGGGCGAAGAAGACAUUACAGAAUCACGCUAAGGACUGCAGACACUACUUUCAGAAAAAAAGAGCAGCUGGAGAAGGUCAAGACCCAUGACCAGCUGUGGAACGCUGCACAGAAGAAGAUAAACAGGUGGAGGAGACCAUGAAAUGAGUUCGACAGAUCUGUUCUCAUCAUUCCAGAGGAACAUCACAACAUGCAAACAUCUGCAGAGUCAACAUGACAAGACUACAGCCCUCAUCAUUCCUUC
Carassius gibelio (silver crucian carp) is the source of this 547-nucleotide long non-coding RNA. RefSeq lists it as uncharacterized. The transcript has 5 exons. Lineage: Eukaryota; Metazoa; Chordata; Actinopteri; Cypriniformes; Cyprinidae. The record is from RefSeq and is a predicted model, not a curated record.